This 253-nucleotide ribosomal RNA is filed under the name uncultured bacterium. RNAcentral's name for it is "partial 16S ribosomal RNA". It matches the Rfam family "Bacterial small subunit ribosomal RNA", at positions 524 to 776 of the family's 1533-position model. The record is from RNAcentral.
UACGGGGGGUGCGAGCGUUGUCCGGAAUCACUGGGCGUAAAGGGCGCGUAGGUGGCCUGAUAAGGGUGUGGUGAAAGUCCGGGGCUCAACCCCGGAUCGGCCGUGCCGACUGUUAGGCUAGAGUACUGUAGGGGCAGGCGGAAUUCCGGGUGUAGCGGUGGAAUGCGUAGAGAUCCGGAAGAACACCGGUGGCGAAGGCGGCCUGCUGGGCAGUAGCUGACGCUGAGGCGCGACAGCGUGGGGAGCAAACAGG